RNAcentral lists this ribosomal RNA (626 nucleotides) under Leotiomycetes sp. genotype 507. Its description in RNAcentral is "eukaryotic LSU rRNA". It matches the Rfam family "Eukaryotic large subunit ribosomal RNA", at positions 1 to 600 of the family's 3401-position model. Lineage: Eukaryota; Fungi; Ascomycota; Leotiomycetes. The record is from RNAcentral.
ACCCGUCAUCACAACCCCCACUUUACAAGGUUGACCUCGGAUCAGGUAGGGAUACCCGCUGAACUUAAGCAUAUCAAUAAGCGGAGGAAAAGAAACCAACAGGGAUUGCCUCAGUAACGGCGAGUGAAGCGGCAAAAGCUCAAAUUUGAAAGCUGGCUCCUUCGGGGUCCGCGUUGUAAUUUGUAGAGGAUGCUUCGGGCGCGGCUCCGGUCUAAGUUCUCUGGAACGAGACGUCAUAGAGGGUGAGAAUCCCGUAUGUGACCGGCUGCCUGUGCCCAUGUGAAGCUCCUUCGACGAGUCGAGUUGUUUGGGAAUGCAGCUCAAAAUGGGAGGUGUACUCCUUCUAAAGCUAAAUAUUGGCCAGAGACCGAUAGCGCACAAGUAGAGUGAUCGAAAGAUGAAAAGCACUUUGGAAAGAGAGUUAAACAGUACGUGAAAUUGUUGAAAGGGAAGCGCUUGCAAUCAGACUUGCGCGGCGUCGAUCAACCUGGGUUCUCCCUGGUGCACUCGGCGCCGCUCAGGCCAGCAUCAGUUUCGGCGGUGGGAUAAAGGCUGAGGGAACGUGGGUCACCUCGGUGACCGUUAUAGCCCUCGGUGCAAUGCCGCCUGCCGGGACUGAGGACCGC